Long non-coding RNA from Ochotona princeps (American pika), 1130 nucleotides. RefSeq lists it as uncharacterized. The record is from RefSeq and is a predicted model, not a curated record. NCBI's taxonomy places the organism in Eukaryota, Metazoa, Chordata, Mammalia, Lagomorpha, Ochotonidae. The transcript is spliced from 3 exons.
UAAGGUGUCAUCAAAUGAUUGUCCCCCAUCCCCAGGUGCUGAUACAGUUUGACAACAAAGAGCAGUUCGCUUUCCCCCAUUAUGGACACAGGAAAAAAAAAAUAACUAAAACAUUUGUCCCACACACCUCCUUCCAUAUAUCUACGACCCCUCCCUGCCAAUUGGAGGAUCAUAUGAGCAUGCAUCCCUUUCAACUAUGUAAAUAAUAUCGAAAAGAAAAUUUAAAAAUAAAGAAAGGCUAUUGAAUGGUUCAAUAAACCCUUAAGAUAGAGAGGUGUUCUCGGAAGCUCUGUGGCCAGGAACACCACACAACACUUGGAACACUGCUGGGAAUCCCUGUGCCUGUGGCUGCAAUGGCGAGAGCUGAUCCGAUCCGAAGCCAGGAGCCAGGAGCUUCUUCUAGUUUUCCCAUGCUGGUCUCUGUUAAAAUGAAAAUGGAAAACCUAAACCGGCAAGAACUUACCAGCCAAUGGCCAUGCUGCCGAGAUGAAGUGAGAUGAGUCUUUGCUUGGUGGACGGUUGGCAUUUCAGCAGUCGGCAAGAGGUCCUGACCUGUGUGGAGACAUGUCAAGAGUAAGCAGAGCCAGAGGACACGUGUGGAGUCACGUGCGUGGAGGUCCAUCGAGGGUGAAGCCAAGGAAGACAAAUCUAUCACCAGAUGACAGAGACAUCGAUGAUAGCAAGGGGCAAGGUGGUGAGGGUGGAUCCAGAAGGUACCAUGGAUAGAUUCAAGAAACAACACAGGAGCAGGCAAAGAGGAGUUUGGAUUUUGGGUGAAUAAGGCUGAGUGUCUCAGAUCUCCCUGUGCCUGUGUGGCGGCUGUGUGGCUGAUGAGUGUCUUGGCUGGAUAUGGAGAAGGCCUUGUAAGCAGUUAAGUCACCACUUAGGACACACGCAUCUCAAGUCCUGAUCCUUUUCUUUCUGACCCAGCUUCCUGUUAACCCACAUCCUGUGAGGCAGUGGGGGAUGGCUCAAAUAAUUGGGUUCCUGCCACUUGCUCUGGAAGAUCUGGACUGAGUUCUGGACUUCUGGUUUUGGUCUGGCCCUGCCAAGGCUAGUAUAAAAAUUUGGGGAGUGAAUGGAAGAUCCUUUUCUGUUUCACAGUCUCUGUCUGCCUUUCAAAAAAUAAA